GUGGAUUAGAUACCCUGGUAGUCCACGCCGUAAACGUUGGGCACUAGGUGUGGGACCCUGUCAACGGGUUCUGUGCCGCAGCUAACGCAUUAAGUGCCCCGCCUGGGGAGUACGGCCGCAAGGCUAAAACUCAAAGGAAUUGACGGGGGCCCGCACAAGCGGCGGAGCAUGUUGCUUAAUUCGAGGCAACGCGAAGAACCUUACCUGGGCUUGACAUGUAGGGAAAAGCACUAGAGAUAGUGUGUCCUUCGGGGCCUUACACAGGUGGUGCAUGGUCGUCGACAGCU
Molecule: ribosomal RNA, 287 nt
Filed under: uncultured bacterium
Lineage: Bacteria
Description: partial 16S ribosomal RNA
Rfam family: Bacterial small subunit ribosomal RNA
Source: RNAcentral